CACUCCUACGGGAGGCAGCAGUGGGGAAUUUUGGACAAUGGGCGAAAGCCUGAUCCAGCAAUGCCGCGUGAGUGAAGAAGGCCUUCGGGUUGUAAAGCUCUUUUGUCAGGGAAGAAACGGUGAAAGCUAAUAUCUUUUGCUAAUGACGGUACCUGAAGAAUAAGCACCGGCUAACUACGUGCCAGCAGCCGCGGUAAUACGUAGGGUGCAAGCGUUAAUCGGAAUUACUGGGCGUAAAGCGUGCGCAGGCGGUUUUGUAAGUCUGAUGUGAAAUCCCCGGGCUCAACCUGGGAAUUGCAUUGGAGACUGCAAGGCUAGAAUCUGGCAGAGGGGGGUAGAAUUCCACGUGUAGCAGUGAAAUGCGUAGAUAUGUGGAGGAACACCGAUGGCGAAGGCAGCCCCCUGGGUCAAGAUUGACGCUCAUGCACGAAAGCGUGGGGAGCAAACAGGAUUAGAUACCCGGGUAGUCCC
This 471-nucleotide ribosomal RNA is filed under the name uncultured organism. RNAcentral describes it as "partial 16S ribosomal RNA". It matches the Rfam family "Bacterial small subunit ribosomal RNA", at positions 334 to 797 of the family's 1533-position model. The record is from RNAcentral.